GAUGAACGCUGGCGGCGUGCUUAACACAUGCAAGUCGAACGGAAAGGCCCAAGCUUGCUUGGGUACUCGAGUGGCGAACGGGUGAGUAACACGUGGGUGAUCUGCCCUGCACUUCGGGAUAAGCCUGGGAAACUGGGUCUAAUACCGGAUAGGACGAUGGUUUGGAUGCCAUUGUGGAAAGGUUUUUCGGUGUGGGAUGAGCUCGCGGCCCAUCAGCUUGUUGGUGGGGUAAUGGCCUACCAAGGCGUCGACGGGUAGCCGGCCUGAGAGGGUGUACGGCCACAUUGGGACUGAGAUACGGCCCAGACUCCUACGGGAGGCAGCAGUGGGGAAUAUUGCACAAUGGGCGCAAGCCUGAUGCAGCGACGCCGCGUGGGGGAUGACGGCCUUCGGGUUGUAAACUCCUUUCGCUAGGGACGAAGCGUUUUUGUGACGGUACCUGGAGAAGAAGCACCGGCUAACUACGUG
This 468-nucleotide ribosomal RNA is filed under the name uncultured bacterium. RNAcentral's name for it is "partial 16S ribosomal RNA". It matches the Rfam family "Bacterial small subunit ribosomal RNA", at positions 28 to 507 of the family's 1533-position model. The record is from RNAcentral.